RNAcentral lists this ribosomal RNA (433 nucleotides) under uncultured bacterium. RNAcentral describes it as "partial 16S ribosomal RNA". It matches the Rfam family "Bacterial small subunit ribosomal RNA", at positions 29 to 507 of the family's 1533-position model. The record is from RNAcentral.
AGCGAACGCUGGCGGCAGGCCUAACACAUGCAAGUCGAACGAACUCUUCGGAGUUAGUGGCGGACGGGUGAGUAACACGUGGGAACGUGCCUUUAGGUUCGGAAUAACUCAGGGAAACUUGUGCUAAUACCGAAUGUGCCCUUCGGGGGAAAGAUUUGUCGCCUUUAGAGCGGCCCGCGUCUGAUUAGCUAGUUGGUGAGGUAAAGGCUCACCAAGGCGACGAUCAGUAGCUGGUCUGAGAGGAUGAUCAGCCACAUUGGGACUGAGACACGGCCCAAACUCCUACGGGAGGCAGCAGUGGGGAAUCUUGCGCAAUGGGCGAAAGCCUGACGCAGCCAUGCCGCGUGAAUGAUGAAGGUCUUAGGGUUGUAAAAUUCUUUCACCGGGGACGAUAAUGACGGUACCCGGAGAAGAAGCCCCGGCUAACUUCGUG